RNAcentral lists this ribosomal RNA (433 nucleotides) under uncultured bacterium. Its description in RNAcentral is "partial 16S ribosomal RNA". It matches the Rfam family "Bacterial small subunit ribosomal RNA", at positions 29 to 507 of the family's 1533-position model. The record is from RNAcentral.
AACGAACGCUGGCGGCAUGCCUAACACAUGCAAGUCGAACGAGACCUUCGGGUCUAGGGGCGCACGGGGGCGUAACGCGGGGGAACCUGCCCUUAGGUUCGGAAUAACUCCCCGAAAGGGGUGCUAAUACCGGAUAAUGUCUUCGGACCAAAGAGUUAUCGCCUUUGGAUGGGCCCGCGUUGGAUUAGCUAGUUGGUAGGGUAAAAGCCUACCAAGGCGACGAUCCAUAGCUGGUCUGAGAGGAUGAUCAGCCACACUGGGACUGCGACACGGCCCAGACUCCUACGGGAGGCAGCAGUGGGGAAUAUUGGACAAUGGGCGAAAGCCUGAUCCAGCAAUGCCGCGUGAGUGAUGAAGGCCUUAGGGUUGUAAAGCUCUUUUACCCGGGAUGAUAAUGACAGUACCGGGAGAAUAAGCUCCGGCUAACUCCGUG